This is a long non-coding RNA of Epinephelus moara (kelp grouper), 786 nucleotides long. RefSeq lists it as uncharacterized. The record is from RefSeq and is a predicted model, not a curated record. The transcript is spliced from 3 exons. Lineage: Eukaryota; Metazoa; Chordata; Actinopteri; Perciformes; Serranidae.
CUAAUCUAAACUGGACAUUGUUUUGGAGGGACGGGGCAAAGUUCUCAACCGUACGCUCAGUUGUUAUAAAGAAUGGUAACAAGCGCGGAAGAAAUCAGAGAUGACCACGCAUUGGUGAUCAUUUACAGAUGAAUCAGACAGCUGAAAUUGUCAAAUCCCUAAAACAAAAUCCCCUAUGUACAUCUCCUUGGAGUUCCUUUUGUGUGCUGGGACUGUAACCCAGACGUUGAUGAAACGGGGGACUGGUGUCUGGUGAGGUCUGAUUGGAUUUUAAUUUCUGGAAAGUGUUUGUGGCAGCAGCGGGGCCAGACUGAUAAAGCGAACAAAACAGAAUGUUGAAUUCACGUCAUCAGGAUGGUCUUACAAGCCUACAAAUGUGUGUUUCCAGUGAGGAGAAAAAUUCCUCUAAGAUCUCUAAAUGUGGGCUCUGGGUUUGUUGAGAAAAGUCAAAAACAGCCUCUCAGCUUCUGAAGUUCUUUACAGCGCUUUUUCUAUGUGUUUCAACCAGUGGCAGGCCAGUUCUGUUUCCUCAGCCAGUGAAAGAAGACCUCCAUUAAAAACAGCAGGACGGAAGGAGUGGACUUUUACCCCCAUGUUCAUAGAAUGACUCACACAGCUGGCACCAGCUUUUAUUUAUGAUCGAGUUUUAUCAGUACGAGAGGGCUAAAUAUGACUCUUAAUAUCUCAAUAUUAAUUUAAUCAGUUGGCAAACCACUCUUAUCAGUAAUGACUCUGUUGUAAUAAUGAAUCUCUUGGACAUACAGUAGCCAAUAAAUUUUGAAAAGC